Molecule: long non-coding RNA, 1357 nt
Filed under: Mustela putorius furo (domestic ferret)
Lineage: Eukaryota; Metazoa; Chordata; Mammalia; Carnivora; Mustelidae
Description: lncRNA (ENSMPUG00000027717.1)
Source: RNAcentral
AUGCAUUUGGGGUCAGAGAAACACAGAUCUGGACAUUUCCAACUUGUCAUGGUAACCAUCAAUCGAGCAGCCUCAUCCAGAAUGCCGAGCGCUCUGGGAUCCGGGGAAGAAGCUGUUAUGCCCAAGCUUUGUGCCUGGGAUGAGAAGCCGCUGGUUCUUGCCUCUUCUUUUCAGAGGACUUCACGUAUGUUGAAGAUCCUGCUGGAUGGUUUCUCUUUGCUCAGGUUCUACCCCACCCAUUCUCUACUCCUCACCACCACGUUCAGUGCUUCUGGAGGCUGACCUGUAUGGACUCGUCAACGGGCUCCUUGGCCCUGUGGCAUCUAGUUGGGCCUUGCUGUUGGGGGGCCAAUUACAGAUCGGAGGUACCUGCAACAGAGAAGCAGGCAACAGGAGAGUGAGCCUUGGGGUUCAUCCCUCUGCCCCCUCCCUGCCAAGUUGCUGCUGUUGACUGUUUCCCUCUUCAGAAGGCCAUAAAUCCUCCAACAGGACAGCUCUCCUCUACAAAAAAAAAAAAAAAUUAUAUAAAUAUCUUGAGGCUUUGAAUAACAUCACUCUUCAGAGAGCGAUACUUUUGAUUGAUUGUUAGCAGUUAGGAGAGGGAAGACCACCCUUAAUCGAGUCAGAGAUUGAGCUGAUUUCAAGGUGAUUUUUUAGUCUUGGCAAAGGAGGGUUCUUGUCCUGUUUACUCUUAUUCUUAUAGUAUUAGACCAUCAGGGGAUUCUUUUUUUUUUUUUUAACUUAAAUUCGAUUAGCAAACAUAGAGUACAGCAUUAGUUUCAGAUGUAGUGUUCAAUAAUGUAUCAGUUGCUUAUAACACCCAGUGCUCAUUGCAUCACGUGCCCUCCUGAAUGUCCGCCAUCCGGUUACCCGUCCCCCAACCCACCUCCCCUCCAGCAACCCUCAGUUUGGUUCAUAUACUUAAAUGUCUCUCAUGGCUUUUCUUCCACUCUGAUGACCUCCCAUUCAGUUUACCCUCCCUUUCCCAUGAUCCUCUUCACCGUUUCUUAUAGUCCGCAUAUGAGUGAAACCACAUAAUUGUCUUUCUCCUAGAUCUCCCUGAUAUGAGGAAUUUGAGAAACAAGACAGAGGAUCACAGGGGAAGGGAGGGGAAAAUGAAACAAGAUGAAACCAGAGAAAGAGACAAACCAUAAGAGACUCUUAAUCUCAGGAAACAAACUGGGGGUUGCUGGGGGUGGGAAGGUAUGGGGUGGCUGAGUGAUAGACGUUGGGGAGGGUAUGUGCUAUGGUGAGUGCUGUGAAUCACAGCCCUGUAUCCCUGUACCCCUGAAACAAAUAAUAUAUGUUAAUAAACUUAUAUAAAAAUAAUUAUCUUUUUCUGAUGGACUUAUUUCAC